CCCCUCUCAGGGUUGCACCUGGAGAGUUCCUGGUAGUCUACCAGUUGUGGCUAUGGGAGGGAAAGUGAAGCAGAGGCCUACCCAUUCCAUUCCUAGCUUGGCCAGUGGCUAGCGAGUGGAAGGCAAUCUGUUACAAGC
Molecule: small nucleolar RNA, 138 nt
Organism: Tachyglossus aculeatus (Australian echidna)
Lineage: Eukaryota; Metazoa; Chordata; Mammalia; Monotremata; Tachyglossidae
Source: RefSeq, a predicted model, not a curated record